Molecule: ribosomal RNA, 455 nt
Filed under: uncultured bacterium
Lineage: Bacteria
Description: bacterial SSU rRNA
Rfam family: Bacterial small subunit ribosomal RNA
Source: RNAcentral
UACGGAAGGCAGCAGUGGGGAAUAUUGCACAAUGGGCGAAAGCCUGAUGCAGCUAUGCCGCGUGUAUGAAGAAGGCCUUAGGGUUGUAAAGUACUUUCAUCGGGGAGGAAAAACAAAACUAAUAAUUUUAUUUCUUGACGUUACCCGAAAAAGAAGCACCGGCUAACUCCGUGCCAGCAGCCGCGGUAAUACGGAGGGUGCUAGCGUUAAUCAGAAUUACUGGGCGUAAAGAGCACGUAGGUGGUUUUUUUAAAGUCAGAUGUGAAAUCCCUGGGCUUAACCUGGAAUUGCAUUUUGAAACUGAAAUACUAGAGUAUCGUAGAGGGAGGUAGAAUUCUAGGUGUAGCGGUGAAAUGCGUAGAUAUCUGGAGGAAUACCUGUGGCGAAAGCGGCCUCCUAAACGAAUACUGACACUGAGGUGCGAAAGCGUGGGGAGCAAACAGGGAUUAGAUACC